RNAcentral lists this ribosomal RNA (253 nucleotides) under uncultured bacterium. Its description in RNAcentral is "partial 16S ribosomal RNA". It matches the Rfam family "Bacterial small subunit ribosomal RNA", at positions 524 to 776 of the family's 1533-position model. The record is from RNAcentral.
UACGAAGGGGGCUAGCGUUGUUCGGAAUUACUGGGCGUAAAGCGCACGUAGGCGGAUUGUUAAGUCAGAGGUGAAAUCCCGGAGCUCAACUUCGGAACUGCCUUUGAUACUGGCAAUCUAGAGUCCGGAAGAGGUUAGUGGAAUUCCCAGUGUAGAGGUGAAAUUCGUAGAUAUCUGGAGGAACACCGGUGGCGAAGGCGGCAUCCUGGACCGACACUGACACUGAGGAGCGAAAGCCAGGGGAGCAAACGGG